UCGUGAGAUGUUGGGAUAAGUCCCGCAACGAGCGCAACCCCUAUUCUUAGUUGCCAGCACAUAAUGGUGGGGACUCUAGGAAGACUGCCUGCGCAAGCAGAGAGGAAGGAGGGGACGACGUCAAGUCAUCAUGGCCCUUACGUGUAGGGCUACACACGUGCUACAAUGGCGUAUACAGAGGGUCGCUACACAGCAAUGUGAUGCCAAUCUCAAAAAGUACGUCUCAGUUCGGAUUGGGGUCUGCAACUCGACCCCAUGAAGCUGGAAUCGCUAGUAAUCGCGCAUCAGCAAUGGCGCGGUGAAUACGUUCCCGGACCUUGUACACACCGCCCGUCAAGCGAUGGAAGUCAGGAGUACCUAAUGUCGG
Molecule: ribosomal RNA, 367 nt
Filed under: Calcidiscus leptoporus
Lineage: Eukaryota; Haptophyta; Coccolithales; Calcidiscaceae
Description: partial Bacterial small subunit ribosomal RNA
Rfam family: Bacterial small subunit ribosomal RNA
Source: RNAcentral